GUUUAUCAGAAAAAGAUUGUGGAUACUAACAUGGAUUAUCCUCCUGUCAAAAAUACUCACCAGAAUAAUAGGUAUUACCUUUUGAAGAAACGGCCACUAUCUCAUGGAAGUUAUGCGGAUCACCAUGCAGCAAAUCCUUCCAUGGGUGCCAAAUUUGGGCGGAGAAUAGUGAAAGCUGUAACAUACAGAGUCAAGUCUAUUCCUUCAGCUAAU
RNAcentral lists this unclassified non-coding RNA (213 nucleotides) under Hevea brasiliensis (rubber tree). The record is from RNAcentral. Lineage: Eukaryota; Viridiplantae; Streptophyta; Magnoliopsida; Malpighiales; Euphorbiaceae.